GUGGCCAAGUUUUUAAGGGCGCACGGUGGAUGCCUUGGCACCAGGAACCGAUGAAGGACGUGGGAGGCCACGAUAGUCCCCGGGGAGCUGUCAACCAAGCUUUGAUCCGGGGGUUUCCGAAUGGGGAAACCCGGCAGUCGUCAUGGGCUGUCACCCGCUGCUGAACACAUAGGCAGUGUGGAGGGAACGAGGGGAAGUGAAACAUCUCAGUACCCUCAGGAAGAGAAAACAACCGUGAUUCCGGGAGUAGUGGCGAGCGAAACUGGAUGAGGCCAAACCGUAUGCGUGUGAUACCCGGCAGGGGUUGCGCAUGCGGGGUUGUGGGAUCUCUCUUUCACAGUCUGCCGGCUGUGAGACGAGUCAGAAACCGUUGAUGUAGGCGAAGGACAUGCGAAAGGUCCGGCGUAGAGGGUAAGACCCCCGUAGCUGAAACAUCAGCGGCUUGUUUGAGAGACACCCAAGUAGCACGGGGCCCGAGAAAUCCCGUGUGAAUCUGGCGGGACCACCCGCUAAGCCUAAAUAUUCCCUGGUGACCGAUAGCGGAUAGUACCGUGAGGGAAUGGUGAAAAGUACCGCGGGAGCGGAGUGAAAUAGUACCUGAAACCGUGUGCCUACAAGCCGUGGGAGCGUCGCGCAUCGAGCUUGCUCGGUGCGUCGUGACUGCGUGCCUUUUGAAGAAUGAGCCUGCGAGUUAGCGGUGUGUAGCGAGGUUAACCCGUGUGGGGAAGCCGUAGCGAAAGCGAGUCCGAACAGGGCGUUUGAGUUGCACGCUCUAGACCCGAAGCGGAGUGAUCUAGCCAUGGGCAGGUUGAAGCGGAGGUAAGACUUCGUGGAGGACCGAACCCACCAGGGUUGAAAACCUGGGGGAUGACCUGUGGUUAGGGGUGAAAGGCCAAUCAAACUCCGUGAUAGCUGGUUCUCCCCGAAAUGCAUUUAGGUGCAGCGUCGUGUGUUUCUUGCCGGAGGUAGAGCACUGGAUAGGCGAUGGGCCCUACCGGGUUACUGACCUUAGCCAAACUCCGAAUGCCGGUAAGUGAGAGCGCGGCAGUGAGACUGUGGGGGAUAAGCUCCAUGGUCGAGAGGGAAACAGCCCAGAGCAUCGACUAAGGCCCCUAAGCGUACGCUAAGUGGGAAAGGAUGUGGAGUCGCAGAGACAACCAGGAGGUUGGCUUAGAAGCAGCCACCCUUGAAAGAGUGCGUAAUAGCUCACUGGUCAAGUGAUUCCGCGCCGACAAUGUAGCGGGGCUCAAGCGUACCGCCGAAGUCGUGUCAAUCCAACAAUAGGGCCAACGCCCGUUGGGUUGGGUAGGGGAGCGUCGUGUGCCGGGUGAAGCAGCCGCGGAAGCGAGUUGUGGACGGUUCACGAGUGAGAAUGCAGGCAUGAGUAGCGAUACACACGUGAGAAACGUGUGCGCCGAUUGACUAAGGGUUCCUGGGUCAAGCUGAUCUGCCCAGGGUAAGUCGGGACCUAAGGCGAGGCCGACAGGCGUAGUCGAUGGACAACCGGUUGAUAUUCCGGUACCCGCUUUGAAACGCCCAGUACUGAAUCAGGCGAUGCUAAGUCCGUGAAGCCGGCCCGAUCUCUUCGGAGUUGAGGGUAGUGGUGGAGCCGAUGAACCAGACUUGUAGUAGGUAAGCGAUGGGGUGACGCAGGAAGGUAGUCCAGCCCGGGCGGUGGUUGUCCCGGGGUAAGGGUGUAGGACG
RNAcentral lists this ribosomal RNA (1704 nucleotides) under Streptomyces sp. Cmuel-A718b. Its description in RNAcentral is "bacterial LSU rRNA". It matches the Rfam family "Bacterial large subunit ribosomal RNA", at positions 1 to 1527 of the family's 2925-position model. The record is from RNAcentral. Lineage: Bacteria; Bacillati; Actinomycetota; Actinomycetes; Kitasatosporales; Streptomycetaceae.